This is a long non-coding RNA of Mauremys reevesii (Reeves's turtle), 257 nucleotides long. RefSeq lists it as uncharacterized. NCBI's taxonomy places the organism in Eukaryota, Metazoa, Chordata, Testudines, Geoemydidae. The transcript is spliced from 3 exons. The record is from RefSeq and is a predicted model, not a curated record.
AAUGGAUAGAGUUAAGAGUAUAACGUCAAACUUUAGUGGAUUCAGUUCUUAUAUCAACAAUCCCUUAUGUUUGUGAGAAAUGAAAACAGGCCUGCAAGAAAGAGCUGACCUCAAAGGCCUAGUCUGCUGAGGAGGCCAAGGCACAAGCCUCUGGGGAAUCAUUGACUUGCUGGGAUGAUAUCAAGGCACAGCAGGAGGAAUAAGUGCAGUUGACGGGGGUGCCGUGGCAAUCAACUCGCCGCUGUGAGGAUGGCCAG